Molecule: long non-coding RNA, 816 nt
Organism: Mangifera indica (mango)
Lineage: Eukaryota; Viridiplantae; Streptophyta; Magnoliopsida; Sapindales; Anacardiaceae
Exons: 8
Source: RefSeq, a predicted model, not a curated record
UUGUGAUUGGUUUUGCAGGAGAAAAUUGCAAGGAAACGACUAAUUGAAGAAGAUGAAGAAGAAGAAGAAGAAGAAGAAGAAAAAGUGAACACCUAACUGAGACAAUGACAAGAUUGAUGGAAAGCUAGUAGGGAGACAUGUUUCAUAAGCUCGUUUAAUCAAGGCGAAGGAAGAUCUUCCUGUUAAAAUCAACAGCCUUAGGCUUCCCGUCGAUACCAUCUGCCGCAACCCUAAAGGCUUUGAGUUCGACAAAGAAGUGUGCUCAUGGCAGUGGGGAGUACAGGGCAAGGAAUUGUAGCAGAAAAGGAAAAGCAGACAAGCUGAAGAGGUGGGCAAUUUCAGUGUGGCAAGGUUGCACGCUGAUGGAAACUUAGCAGAUGAGAUACUUGUCAUAUGCCAAAUGAAUUUGUCAUACUGAUACAGUUCUUUUCUUUUUGAACAUAGAGUAUUAAGAAAACAUUCAUUUGGUUGAAAUUUGUGAUGCAAAAUUUAGGGGAAAAUAAGCUUGAAAACAGGAAAUAAUCAUGAACAAGAAAGGAGAAAAGGCGGAUGUUUGCAUCAACAGAGAAGAUGGUGUUCCUAGCUUAAAUAAGAUGAAACUUACUUUGUUUCAGAAGAGGAUUUAUCCACAGUUCUCUAUUUCGACUACUAGGUCAAGAAUCUGUCUGCUGGAGAGAAUAUUUAGGCAAGAUGCAUAUAUAUCAAGGCUGCCUGUUUCUAUCAUACAGGCCCUAGUAUCAACAAGUGGAUGACGUGAUUCAGAAAGCGUUGGAGAAAUUCCCUAAGCCUGAUGAGGUAAUGAAAUUUUUUGGUGCC